Arvicola amphibius (Eurasian water vole) is the source of this 1567-nucleotide long non-coding RNA. RefSeq lists it as uncharacterized. The transcript has 4 exons. NCBI's taxonomy places the organism in Eukaryota, Metazoa, Chordata, Mammalia, Rodentia, Cricetidae. The record is from RefSeq and is a predicted model, not a curated record.
UGUGUGCAUCAUUCAUUCAGCAAACACUACAAAGCAUUUCCCACUGUAAGUUCCCCUCACCCAGAAGUGGGGAUUCUGGAAGGCUCCAACAGCCCCAGAGCCAACUCAAGGAGUUCACAGGGGAGAAUAGGGAGCAGAGAUGACUCCUGAUGGGUCAGUGAGACAAGAAGCUUGAGAGAGCUCAGACAGACACACGGAGACAAGGCCUCCUUGAAGAACUGCUGAGACCUAGGCUGCUAGGGGCGAGUUCAUAGUUUGCCGUUGACUGAGAAGUCAUUGUGUGACACACAACUUGGCAGUGGCAUCAGGGCAGUGAAGAAUGCAGGUCCCCAGCUUAGAGGAACUCCCUCUUCUGACUGUUCUCUGUCGGCUCACUCUUUGCAUUUCAGGGGAGGACUAGAGGACUCCAGGUCAGAGAGGAGAGUUGCUGAAGGAGGUCAUCUGGGGAAGAAUGAAGCCAACCCCUAAGUCAUUCCUUAGGACCACCCAUGUCUGUCCCCGGUGACAAAGAGGCUGCCAAUGCUCUCCCGUCCUCUCUCCCUCCAGGCUGGGAUGCCGACGACAGGGGACUGAAAUGCUUCUAUUAGAAGUUCUUGUGUUGGACAUAGACUUUUGAUCCUGAAGGACAAGAGCAAAUUGCUGUGGAGAAGGGAGCAGAGGUGUAACUUACAGCUUCGCAUACAGAAGAGACCAGAUAGUCCUCUCCUGAGGCCAGGUCUCCAUAGAAUGAGAGUGGAGCCAGCAGGAAGGCUAUGGGUGUUUCUGUAGAAGGGAUGUGGAGAGAAGCGGCUCACCCAGGAGACACUGAAAUUCAAUCCCCUCCUGCACAGUCAGAGGCAGAGCUAACCCUGCUGCAUGGCUCCCUCCUCAGGGGACACAGGAUGAGCUUCCUGGCAGGAGCUGUGCAGGGUGACGGUUCCUGGGGGCAUCUUUCCUCCACAGGGAGCAACAGAGAGAUCUUAUCCUCAUCUGGACUCUGCUCCAACUCUGGUGGCUUCCUUUUCUAAGCCUCCAUUUCCUACAGAAGGGACCGACGGCUUGGAACUUUAUCAGCGUUUCCCAUACUUUGGGUUCUUUCACUUCAGCCUACAGAUCUAUACCAAGACACAGUGUGUGCUCAUAUUUGUACGUGCACAUGUGGACAGCCAUAUGCUGCGUGAGGAUCUUUCAGCCAAAGAUGGAUCCAACCCAUGGCAGUCAACCCUGAAGAUUGACUAGGGGCUAGGGUGUCAUAACAUCCUUGGUUUGAGUAAGAACGGUGUACAAUGUUUAUACAGUGAUACCAUUUUCUAAUGAUGCAUUUCUCAGAACAUAGCUUUCUCAUCAAAUGAUGUAUGACUAUAUAUACGAUGUUUGUACAUGUAUGUUUGUGAAUAUAUGUCAUCUACCUAUCUUAGCUAUCAUGUAUGUACGUAUGUGCGUAUAUCCAUCCAUCCAUCCAUCCAUCCAUCCAUCCAUUUAUCUUCUUCCUAUGAGCCCAAAAUUGUAAGAAUCAAAGUUAUAAAAUAUGAAAUUGGGUGAUGAGUAAAACUCUUCCCAGUUCUGGUAUUUUAAGCCUAUUUUAAUA